GCAUUACUACGCUCAGUGUUAAGAAAAAUAUGGUAUGUUUGAUUAAAUAACAGAGAAAAAAAGCAUUUCAGGAUUGAUGCAGUUAGGAUGAAGAAUUUAUUGUAUAUACAGUAAAGCAAUUCUACUGUAGAUGUACUUCUUGUUUAAAGAAAAUGAAUACAGUAAUCAAAAUCGUUUUAGCAUGGAAACUACAGCACAGACUGAAACUUGACUAAACCAGAAAUCAGUUAUUUGACUUGAAAGAACACAGGACCUGGAACAACAGAUCACAGGUUGCAUCAUUAACCAGGACGGUAAAAAAACUGUACAGUACAAGCAACACAUUACAAUAAGUUAUGACCAAUAAGGCAGUCUCUCUCAUUUAGGACAAAAGGGAUAAAGGGAAAGGUAUUAAAAUCUCAUAAAUCCACCGUAUCUCUUUUCCAUCUCUGGGACCUCUUUGGAAUAAGUUUCCCCAUCUUCUUCAGAAGGGAGAAUGGAAUCGGCGAAGCGCUUGAGAAACCCGCCGUACCGUUUCUGGUAAUCCAGCCACCACUCUGGCCUGCCCACUCUUCUCAUGAAACCACCGUAUCUCUUUUGCAGCUCUUUGGCUUCAUCUUCCAGUUCUGGGCUGCGCUUUACGCUUCUCAUGAAACCGCCGUAUCUUUUGCUGACGUCUCCAUCGUUUUCAUUUACUCCUCGGUAAUGCGCCGCUUCAGGGUUAUCCCCUGCUCCUAAAAGCUCCUUCAGCAGAUCAGAGGAAUUAGCCAGGGCAUCGUCGUCUGAGUCCUUCUUCAUGAAGCCUCCGUACCUCUUAGCCAGGAUCUCUCCUCCAUUAGCUUCAUCCUCUGACUCUGGGUGGUAGAGCUCAUCCAUUUUCUUCAUGAAUCCCCCGUAUCUCUUCAUGAAGCCCCCGUAUUUCUUGGCAAGCAGAUGGUUCUCAUCCAGCUCUUUUUUGUCUCCUGGAGCGGCGUUUCCAUCCUCAGGCAGGUCCAGCUUUGUCAGCUGCAGCAGCUCCUUGCAGGUCUCCCAGGCCUUGGCAGAAGGAAGCUUUCCUUCACAUUCUAGUGUACAUGCCAGCGGGUGGAUGUCGGCGCGGGGCCCCAGGCGGUAGGCGCAGGCCGCGCAGUCCCGCCCGCAGUCCGCCCGCGCCCGCGGCAGCAGGCAGGUGCUGAGCGCCAGCAGCGAGCAGCCGAGCCGCAGCAGCAACGCCAUGGGGACAGCGCUCCCCUCGGGACUCGCGGCGGUCGUUGGGCAGCGCCUCGCUGCUGGAGCCUCGGCGUCGAGCCGCGGGUGUUUGGAGCGGGGCUGAGCAGUCAGCGCCUCCGGAGCAACUCCAGAGGGGGAGGAGGGACGGACGGCCCGCGGCUGCUACCGGCCGAACCGAGCCGCACCGAGCCGAGCGGAGCGGGUGCGAUGUGUGAGGAGCGGGCACUUUAUAAUUAGGGAACGCGGGCAGAGCGCGGCCUCCCCCAAUCGCCGCCGGGCUCCCGCUGACGCAGCACCUACGACAUCCCCCUCCGGCCCCCCCAGCACCGCUGCUCCCCUCUACGGGUGGCUCCGGAGGGGUGGGCGAGCGGCCCGGCCGUCGGGAGAGAGGGCUCCGGGGGAAGCGUGCAGCAUCGGCGAGAAGUGCUCCAGCCCUCUGAUCAUCUUCAUGGCUUCCUCUGGACCUGCUCCAACAGCUCCAUGUCUUCCUUGUGUGUAUAGUUUGAAGACGCUGAAGAACAUGAAGCCUGGCACAAAUGACCCCAAGAAACUUCAGCUGUGUGCAGCUACAAACGUGGUGGUCUGCACUCAUGGUCCUGGUCAAACAGGUGGUUCAGCUCAGCUGGAUCCAGUUUGCUGCUCUCCAAGGGGACCAAGGACAGCACCCUGCCCACUUGGACACCUAGACCUUCUGGCUUGGCUGCACAUCAGCACUUCUAAUUGAAAGAGCCGGGGGUGCUUUUACUACUGUUUUGUUAUUAUAAGAAAGGAAGGUUGUGAGAUUGCCUUAGGUAUUGAAUGAGAUGUAAUUUUCCUAUAUUGUUUUUUUCUAGACUGUUUUCUUAACCUAACCCAGGGUCUCUUUCACUCUCUGUGUUGCUCAGCUACAUGCACGCUGCUGAAUGACUCUGUCCACCAUGCUUCUUCUUCAGAGAGGCCCAGUUUACUUCUGUCCCCCAGCUCAGAAGUGAUUAGGAAAGCCUUUUUACACAACAUGUCUUUGCCAUAGCCCUGUGCAGUGUUCUGUUAGUGCAGGUAUGGGAAAACUUAAGCCUGUAACAGCAAUUAAUUUAAUUUAUAUGUGAACACAUUAAUGGGAUUAGGAAUUCAGGCUUAGGCGUAGUAAAUUGUUAAGCCUCCUAAACUACAACAAUAUCAAGCAUUUAAUAGUGCUGAGGCUGUACCAUUCCCUCCCCUGCAAUGAAAUCCUCCAUUUUCUAUUGCUAUUUUGCAUCUAUUUUGCAUCUAUUUAUUGACGUCAAGUAUGACGCCAAUAACCCAGGUUGAUGGCAGGAAGGAGACUGGCAGUCACACGGACAUAUUCUUGUCAUGUAAUGUGAGCACAUCCACUUCUGAGACAGAUGCCAGUGGUGGCCUCUUACCUCCCACAUCUGGAGGAAUCUCCUCCUGAAAAUCUGUAGUUAGAGAAUUAUUAUGAGACCUUCAGGGUGACUUAUAGAUCAGACUUGGCUUUUAUGGUACCCUUGUAAUUGCAUGGGGAAAGAAAGACUGUGGUGUGGAGCAGGUGGGGGGCCUCUCCAUCUCUGCUCUGCCUGGGGUUCCACAUGCUCUGAGCACCUGUCUAACAUUUGAUUAGCAAUUUUAGGAAAAAGACUUUUAUUUCUAGAAAUCAAGACCAUGCAAACAUUAUCCCUAGAUGAAUGAAAACCAGAUGUCAAGUCAUUGUCCAUUUUUAUUCUGGAUUUCUGCAUAGUUACAGCUGGCACCAGCUGGUGACCGGGGACAGGUGGGCAGACAGGCAGAAGACAACUGCCUGACUGGCUGGGACUGUUCCACCUGGCAGUUCCUGAUGCAACUAGCAGCUGCUGGACACUUGAUACUUCUGUCCCGUGUUUAGGAACAAAGCAAUGGCUGUAUCUGUCUGUUUUGAAACACAAAGCUUGAAAUCCUGGUCUAAGAGAAUAAACGGCACAACUGUUGACAACUGUUGCUCUUUCCAUGACUUUUAUCUCAGAUAGGAAAUGUAUCUCAAAGGACAUCAAUAAAAAGAGGCUCCUAAGGGAGAAUAGAGCUCUUGAAAGCUGUCUAUUUAAAUGAAGUCUUGAUGUCACUGAAGAUUUGUGUGGAAGAAAGGCUUGUGGAAAAGUUUUGAAAGUGUUAACGUUCUCAAUAUAGUCAUUUUUGGAAUAAAACAUUUCAUUUUUUGACUUUGAAAUAAUAGAUUGAGUCAAUUUAAAUAUAUCCUAUAAAAAUUCAUAAGUCAAAAUAAAAAGAAAAUUGAAGGAAAAUAUUUCCAUUGAUCAGAAAUUUGUAUUUGCCUCUAAAAUUUUCCUGUGGAAAAAUUUUUGGCUUUGAAUAUAACUUUGACUUGGAAAUUUCUAAAUCUUCAUGACAGAAGUCUUCUCCAAAGCAUCUAUACCAUUAAGCUGCACAUUUUCAGAAAUACUUACAAAGGCAGCACAGACCUAAGAAGUUGCAGCUUUGCGCGCAGUCAAAAAGCCAGAAUGUAUUUACAGUGGGCAAUUAGGUGUCAGAUAAAGUACUCUGCCAUGUAGCUCUCCUACAAAGCUUGACUGACUGGCAAAUUACUUGUUCUACCAUGUUAAUACAUUUAAAUGAUGACUGUUUAAAUAGAUAAUGUUUAUAUUUUUAAAACUGAAUUACAUGGCAUGAACUGAUCAAAAACGUUUAUCUACAAUUUCCUUCUACGCAUUUAAUUAUUAUUAUUAUUUUAUUAUUGUAAAUUAUAUACUGGGCAUGGUUCCUAGGAAUAAUUGACUUUCGUAGGAAACAAAAUCAGAGGACACAUGAGCAAUACAGACUGUGCAAUCAUUAUAUAGUAGGUAGCAGGAGGAAGGAUUUGCAUGUACCAUACACUCAUUCCAAAUUCACUUAUUUGCUACUUUGAUCAUUAAUAUUUUAGGAGAAAUUUCUUCUCUAAAAGAGUGGUCAGAUGCUGGAAUGGGCUGCCCAGGGAGGUGGUGGAGUCACCAUCCCUGGACCUGCAGAUGUACUAAGGGACAUGCUUUAGUGGGGAAAUAAUGGUGGUAGGUGGAUGGUUGGACUGGAUGAUCUUGGAGGUCUUCUCCAACCUUGGUGAUUCUAUGAUUUAUUCAUGUAUUUAUUUAUUGUAAGACAUCCACACAUUUCAGAUGUUUUCUUAGCCAGUUUAUAUAGUGUCAGGUAAACACUCCAGUAAUGAUUUUAGUAUCAAGUCGGAUCCAAAGGAUAGUAUUUAGUAUUGCACGUAAUCAAUCUUUAAGUAUGCCACAUAUAUAGCAAGUGUCCAUAUUUUUGUGAUUGUAAUCUGUAUUGCUCUGUGAUUUCACUAGCAUCAUGAUUCCUUUGAAUGUAUUUAUGACACCGUUCUCUGUGUCAUGAGUAUUUGUAUUAGUGUAACAUAAUAAAGUCC
This 4561-nucleotide long non-coding RNA is filed under the name Gallus gallus (chicken). Lineage: Eukaryota; Metazoa; Chordata; Aves; Galliformes; Phasianidae. The record is from RNAcentral.